RNAcentral lists this ribosomal RNA (109 nucleotides) under Caerostris extrusa. Lineage: Eukaryota; Metazoa; Arthropoda; Arachnida; Araneae; Araneidae. The record is from RNAcentral.
GGUGGUAUCAUGGUGAAUAUACCGGUUCUUGUUAGAUCACCGAAGUCAAGCAUCAUUGGGCGCCUUCAGUACUUGGGUGGGUGACCACCUGGGAACACCGCGUGCCGUU